GUUACCUUGGCUGCUGGACAUUCUACUGCAUUUUCAAGAUAUUUAUCUGAUCCACAGCGAAAGCAGGUAUGUGUAGCAGAAGUAACAGUCCGAGGCGAUGUGAAUGGAGCAGUCGAGUGUGCGCCGUCUAUUUUUUAGAUCCCCCAGUGCCGCAACCACGUACUCUCAUGUGUCUUUGCACACUCAGCCUGUACGGAAAAGUUCUGUGUACUCGUUAUUGCUUUAGCAUGCUCUCCAGCAGAUUCAACUUGUUGUGCAAUUGUAACCAUAUCAGUAAAUGUUAACUUGUCAUGCAGCAAAAGUCUCUCUGGACUAAUACGUGGAUUAGUGACAUUUUCCAUGAGCUGGUCACGAAUCAUAUCAUCUGCAUUUGUAAACUCACACAUAGACGAAAGUUCUCUCAGUGCAGCAACAUACUGAAUUACAGACUCACCAGUUUGUUGAGUUCUUUUCCGGAAUGUGUAUCUCUCCAUAACCACGUUCAACUUGGGUGUAAAAUGAGCAUGUAAAGCCAUAAUAGCAGCAGCCAUUGUAUCGCCCGUUUCUGGUAACAUGUAAAAUAUUCUCUGCCCUUCUGUGCCCAGGCAAUGUAACAGAAGAGCUCUUUUCAUGGCUUCUGACCAUUCCUGUCUUUCAACGUCGAUCACUAAGAGAUAAUUCUGGAACAUUCGCUCCCAUGUCUUGAAGGGAAUCGCGGGGUCUCCUAGAGCAGGUAAGAAAAAAUGUUAGGAAAUUGUGCAGACGAUGCUAUCGUGGCAGCUAUUGUGAGUCGCCUCGUCACCAAUAUGUUGUGUUCAAGGUAUCAAUAUGAAGCCAGGCCACAGCAGGUGAAACGAUUAAAUCUUUUCUUUGUUACUAACUCUUAACACACAUGCAACUCAUGCUCAUCAUUCUUGUUUUUCUAUUCGUGUUCCCCCUAAUAACAUCUAUUUCCCCCUAGUGGUCUCAGUAAGGAUUACACUGAAUAACAGGACACCACACACCACCCAUGUAAAAAUCCCCAGCCGAAUUACCUACUAUUUUUUGCCAAACACCAAGGGCAUGUGGUAAUUUAAUUGCCGCCUGAAUCCAUGUCUCUGAGUUUAUAAAAGGUGACUGAUCUAAAAGUCGUUCUGUAAACCUGUUUGACCACUGAUGAGCACCGUAUGGUAACUGUUGCGUUUUGCGGUAAUUUGCGUCAGAGAACCGGCUUUUUUUGCAUGCAUUUUAAAAAAGGACACAAUCCAAGUUUUUACAGGAAUAAUCUUACAGGAAAAAUGUUACAGGAAAAGCUGAUUAAACCAAAGCGAAAAAACAGAAGAAAAACACGAAAACAUCUGAAAUGGGCCAUUAUCAUGGCAGUGACAGCUGACAAUCUUGUGACUACCCCUGAGGCACCAGUGAAAAGAAGCAUUUUCUGGGAGACAGGUGUACUGGAAUACUUCACAGACUGAGUGGUAUCAGAACUUCAGAAUGCCAUGAGAGGCAUUUCUGAAUCUCUGUGGCUUGCUCAGUCCCUAUAUUCAAAACCAAAAUACAGUUAUAAAAUGUCCAGUGCCUCUACAAAAGAGAGUGGCCCUUACACUCUACAGACUUGCCAGCAGUGUUGAAUUUCAUGAUUUGGCCAACCUCUUUGGCACUGGCGUGAGCACAGAAUGCAACAUUUUCUAGGAAGUGUGUGACGCUUUGUGCCAUCUCAAGAAGAAAAUGUUAAAAGACCAAGAUCUUUAUAAGACCUGCAAUCCAUCAUUGAUGGGUUUGAAAGAAAAUCUGGCUUUCCUAUGUGUGCUGGGGCCUUGGAUGGUACUCACAUCCCCAUUAUCGCUCCUUCACAGUACUGCACUGAACAGAAAGGGAUGGUACAGUGUGCAACUUCAGGACCUUGUAGACCGUCCAUUAAAGGAGUGGAAAUCCAGCCUCUCAUUGUAGUAGACUCUGCAUACAGCCUAUCUCCACAUGUGAUGAAACCUUUACCUGGCGGCACAUUGAGGAGACCACAGAAGGAGUUUAACAUAUGCUUGAGCAGGGCUCGCAUUCAUGUUGAGCAUGCUUUUGGCUCCCUGAAAGGUAGAUGGCGCUGCAUCAUGAAGAGAAAUGACAGUGCAACAAACAACAUCAAUUAUGUCGUGGUGGCCUGCAUUGUGUUACAUGACUUCUGUGAAGAGUGGAACCUGAAGUAUGUUGACACACCCCACCAGCCUCCAGAAAACACAGAUUUACCACAGGACAUUCCAUCCAUUCCAUUUCCUGGUGAGCCUGAGUUCAACCUGCCCUGAACAGCCUGACUCGUCAAACUGUACUGCAGAAGAAAUUCGACAGGCAAUAAUGCUUCAUGUAUCAACACGAGUGUAAACACCUUUUUGAAAAUGUACAAUGGUGUAGUAAAAGUAACCAGUAUAUACUCCCAUGUUUAGUACAACAAAAUAUUUUAUUUCAAGUAUCAAUAAUUAUAAUUUUCCUUUGUUAUUAACUUUGAAUAAGGAUGAAAUGAAUGCACUGUAGAAGUACAGAACUGGAAUUUUUCUUUAAGAGGUAGUCUACUAUUGCAAAGGCUUCUUGUACAGAACAUGUAGUUUGCCAAAAGUUCUAAAAUGUUUCAAAAUAAUAAUAAAAAAAAUAUAUAUAAAAUAA
Molecule: long non-coding RNA, 2610 nt
Organism: Ctenopharyngodon idella (grass carp)
Lineage: Eukaryota; Metazoa; Chordata; Actinopteri; Cypriniformes; Xenocyprididae
Exons: 3
Source: RefSeq, a predicted model, not a curated record